Long non-coding RNA from Saccostrea cuccullata (small rock oyster), 295 nucleotides. RefSeq lists it as uncharacterized. NCBI's taxonomy places the organism in Eukaryota, Metazoa, Mollusca, Bivalvia, Ostreida, Ostreidae. The record is from RefSeq and is a predicted model, not a curated record. The transcript has 2 exons.
GAAUUGUGCCACUGAAUUAAAAGGGAACUCUUUUUUUUAGGUGCACAUGAUGCAAAGUCCUGGAUGGUAUGUAGGCUGUUUUCAAACAUCUGAAACCCACAUGUAUUUCAGGGAAAUGCUUGUCAGGACCCAAGACUGAAAAAAAGACUGAAAAUCUGCCUUUAAACACAGACAUUAUUCAUAUCAAUGGAUAAACUAGAAACAUCCAAACAAUAUUACAUCAGAAUCAUAAGAGACUGUCAAUUGUUAUCCCUCACUGUGGCAGAAACACCUAAAUAAACAUUGAAAUGAUAAA